AGCGAACGCUGGCGGCAGGCUUAACACAUGCAAGUCGAACGCCCCGCAAGGGGAGUGGCAGACGGGUGAGUAACACGUGGGAACGUACCCUUUGGUUCGGAAUAACUUGGGGAAACUCAAGCUAAUACCGGAUAAGCCCUUAUGGGGAAAGGUUUACUGCCGGAGGAUCGGCCCGCGUCUGAUUAGCUAGUUGGUGAGGUAAUGGCUCACCAAGGCGACGAUCAGUAGCUGGUCUGAGAGGAUGAUCAGCCACACUGGGACUGAGACACGGCCCAGACUCCUACGGGAGGCAGCAGUGGGGAAUAUUGGACAAUGGGGGCAACCCUGAUCCAGCCAUGCCGCGUGGGUGAUGAAGGCCUUAGGGUUGUAAAGCUCUUUUACCCGGGACGAUAAUGACUGUACCGGGAGAAUAAGCCCCGGCUAACUUCGUGCCAGCAGCCGCGGUAA
This 447-nucleotide ribosomal RNA is filed under the name uncultured bacterium. Its description in RNAcentral is "partial 16S ribosomal RNA". It matches the Rfam family "Bacterial small subunit ribosomal RNA", at positions 29 to 523 of the family's 1533-position model. The record is from RNAcentral.